CUAGGAUGAACGCUAGCGGCAGGCUUAACACAUGCAAGUCGAGGGGCAUCGGGUGUAGCAAUACAUGCCGGCGACCGGCGAAAGGGUGAGUAACGCGUGAGCAACGUGCCCGUAUGUGGGGGAUAGUCGAUGGAAACGUCGCGUAAUACCCCGUAACACAUGGAACUGCAUGGUUUCAUGUUGAAAGAUUUAUUGCAUACGGAUCGGCUCGCGUGCCAUUAGGUAGACGGCGGGGUAACGGCCCACCGUGCCGACGAUGGCUAGGGGUUCUGAGAGGAAGGUCCCCCACAUUGGAACUGAGACACGGUCCAGACUCCUACGGGAGGCAGCAGUGAGGAAUAUUGGACAAUGGCCGGAAGGCUGAUCCAGCCAUGCCGCGUGCGGGAAGACGGCCCUAUGGGUUGUAAACCGCUUUUGCGGGGGAGCAAUAAGAGUCACGUGUGGCUCGAUGAGAGUACCCUGCGAAUAAGCAUCGGCUAACUCCGUGCCAGCCGCCGC
This 498-nucleotide ribosomal RNA is filed under the name uncultured bacterium. RNAcentral describes it as "bacterial SSU rRNA". It matches the Rfam family "Bacterial small subunit ribosomal RNA", at positions 26 to 518 of the family's 1533-position model. The record is from RNAcentral.